Molecule: ribosomal RNA, 233 nt
Filed under: uncultured bacterium
Lineage: Bacteria
Description: partial 16S ribosomal RNA
Rfam family: Bacterial small subunit ribosomal RNA
Source: RNAcentral
UGAGGAACUUGCCCCGGAGACCGGGAUAACCCUCCGAAAGGAGAGCUAAUACCGGAUGUCCUCACCGAGUCGCAUGGCUUGGUGAGGAAAUGGAUUCCGCUCCAGGAGAGCCUCGCGGCCUAUCAGCUAGUUGGUGGGGUAACGGCCCACCAAGGCAUCGACGGGUAGCUGGUCUGAGAGGACGAUCAGCCACACUGGGACUGAGACACGGCCCAGACUCCUACGGGAGGNAG